RNAcentral lists this unclassified non-coding RNA (336 nucleotides) under Hevea brasiliensis (rubber tree). The record is from RNAcentral. Lineage: Eukaryota; Viridiplantae; Streptophyta; Magnoliopsida; Malpighiales; Euphorbiaceae.
CCAUAACUGGGAGCAGAGGUAUAACCUUGUUGAUCAUAUGGUGGUGGUUGACCAUAACCUGAUUGAGGAUACCCACCAUAGCCAUCCUGAACAUAACCUUGUCCUUGCUGAUUAUAACCAGAAGCUGGUGGCUGACUGUAAUUAUAGCUCGUAUUAUCUGCUGGAGCUGCAGGACCACCAGGGGUUGGUUGAGAAGAAGCUGGCUGAUUAUAGUAAUCAUAACCCUGACCUGUCUGCUGAUUGACAGAUACAUUUGACUGAUCCCAGUUGGUGGGAUAUCCACCAGAUGAUGGUUGGGGUGGAUAUCCCGCGUAAGGUGGCUGAGACAUAUUAUAC